This 461-nucleotide ribosomal RNA is filed under the name uncultured bacterium. Its description in RNAcentral is "bacterial SSU rRNA". It matches the Rfam family "Bacterial small subunit ribosomal RNA", at positions 30 to 518 of the family's 1533-position model. The record is from RNAcentral.
UGAACGCUGGCGGCGUGCCUAACACAUGCAAGUCGAGCGAUUACUUCGGUAAAGAGCGGCGGACGGGUGAGUAACGCGUGGGUAACCUGCCUCAUACACAUGGAUAACAUACCGAAAGGUAUGCUAAUACAGGAUAAUAUAAGAGAUUCACAUGGAUUUCUUAUCAAAGCUCCGGCGGUAUGAGAUGGACCCGCGUCUGAUUAGCUAGUUGGUAAGGUAAUGGCUUACCAAGGCGACGAUCAGUAGCCGACCUGAGAGGGUGAUCGGCCACAUUGGAACUGAGACACGGUUCAAACUCCUACGGGAGGCAGCAGUGGGGAAUAUUGCACAAUGGGCGAAAGCCUGAUGCCAGCAACGCCGCGUGAGUGAUGAAGGCCUUCGGGUCGUAAAACUCUGUCCUCAAGGAAGAUAAUGACGGUACUUGAGGAGGAAGCCCCGGCUAACUACGUGCCAGCAGCCGC